RNAcentral lists this long non-coding RNA (568 nucleotides) under Lathyrus oleraceus (garden pea). RNAcentral's name for it is "Pisum sativum (pea) long non-coding RNA (PSAT_LNC007075)". Lineage: Eukaryota; Viridiplantae; Streptophyta; Magnoliopsida; Fabales; Fabaceae. The record is from RNAcentral.
UCUCGUGUAGGUAGCGUGCUUUUUUUUCAUUUCCAUACUACGUUUGAAAUUGUUGUUAUCUUUUUUUUAUUCUCUAUGUACCUCUGUAACACUGAGAAUAUUGAAAAACGAUUGGGGUAUUGGAUUGUUAUGGGUGGGGUUUUCUUGUUUGAGCUUCUGAUUGUGUGGUUUGUCUUUCAACCGUUUGUUUGGUGCUUACGAUUGUAUGUUCGUUGUUUCGUCACCAGGUUCGACAUUGUUGAGCUGUAAGCGCUAGCUUAGUUUGUGAACUUAGGGUUCAAAAUGGAAGUUUCUGCUUCUAUUUUCAUUGUGUGUUGUGACCUAGUUUCAUAGCGGUUUGUAUGCGUUUGUUUUGUUUAUAUUGAGUUUGGAUUAGCUGCUAAUCCAUGGUCUUUUUGCGUUUUGUGAAAAAGAAGUAAGAACGACGGGUAGAUAAAAGAAAGAAAUGAAAUGGUGAUAACAUAUUGGAAAAGGGUUUCGAUAGAUAGUUAUUAUUUUGUUUAGCUUGUUUUCUAAGGAGUUAUGUGUUUGUUUGAAAAUAGAUGGAAGUGGCUGAGUGAAUCAAAGA